AUGCUUACUUCAGCAGCACAUAUUCUAAAAUUGGAACAAUACAGAGAAGAUGAGUAUGGCCUCUCUUCAAGGAUGACACGCAAAUUCAUGAAGUCUUCCAUAUUUUA
Trichosurus vulpecula (common brushtail) is the source of this 107-nucleotide small nuclear RNA. NCBI's taxonomy places the organism in Eukaryota, Metazoa, Chordata, Mammalia, Diprotodontia, Phalangeridae. The record is from RefSeq and is a predicted model, not a curated record.